This 253-nucleotide ribosomal RNA is filed under the name uncultured bacterium. RNAcentral's name for it is "partial 16S ribosomal RNA". It matches the Rfam family "Bacterial small subunit ribosomal RNA", at positions 524 to 776 of the family's 1533-position model. The record is from RNAcentral.
UACGUAGGGAGCAAGCGUUGUCCGGAAUCAUUGGGCGUAAAGGGCGCGUAGGCGGCUUUGCAAGUGACGGGUGAAAGCCCUCGGCUUAACCGAGGAACUGCCUGUCAGACUGUAAGGCUUGAGACCGGGAGAGGUGAGUGGAAUUCCCAGUGUAGCGGUGAAAUGCGUAGAUAUUGGGAGGAACACCAGUGGCGAAGGCGGCUCACUGGACCAGAACUGACGCUGAGGCGCGAAAGCGUGGGGAGCAAACAGG